GAUCAGUCUCUUUAAUACAAAUCUUAGUACUCAAUCAUUGCAUCUGGGAUCAAACUUAGUUAGGUUUCUUGGCUCAGAAGGACAGUUUUCAAAACUUUUAUGGCUUUUAUGCCCAUCGGUUUCUUUGCCAAAUCUCCACCUUCUGGUAAUAUAAGCCUUGUGCUAUGUGUGCAGGUUUCUGGGAAGGUUAGUGGUGUCCAAUGAUAGAGGACUAGGCAUUGUGCUUGCUAUAGCUCCUCUGAUCUGGUUGACAGAAUUUUCUGGAUCUCUGGUUCUAGGUAAUCACUCACCAUGAGGACUCUCUACCUGAUGUAUAUGGUGCUUUUUUUGGUAUUUGCCUAUACUGUUGAAGGGCUGAAUAAAAUUGAAGGCUGGUAUCAAUGCCAGAUGGAUGGUGGUCGUUGUUUGCCUCGUUGUCCAAAAUCAUACAUGGUAUCUGGGACCUGCUCCAAACAAGAAUUGAUUUGCUGCGUAGUUUAGCAGGAAAGAACAACACAUUCUGUGGUAUAGAAGAGUGAGAGUAUAAAAUAGGAGAGAACUUGAAAUACAUGGAAUAUGUUACUCUUGUUUAAAUAAAGGAAAAUCCAUUUGGAAACUUGAUUUCUUA
This 607-nucleotide long non-coding RNA is filed under the name Monodelphis domestica (gray short-tailed opossum). Its description in RNAcentral is "lncRNA (ENSMODG00000036489.1)". The record is from RNAcentral. Lineage: Eukaryota; Metazoa; Chordata; Mammalia; Didelphimorphia; Didelphidae.